GCCUGGCUAGCUCAAUUGGUUAGAGCGUACGACUCUUAAUCGUAAGGCUGCGAGUUCGAGUCUCGCGUCGGGCU
Non-coding RNA from Polyplosphaeria fusca, 74 nucleotides. Lineage: Eukaryota; Fungi; Ascomycota; Dothideomycetes; Pleosporales; Tetraplosphaeriaceae. The record is from the annotation of a GenBank genome assembly.